GAGUUUGAUCUUGGCUCAGAUUGAACGCUGGCGGCAGGCCUAACACAUGCAAGUCGAGCGGAUGAAGGGAGCUUGCUCCUGGAUUCAGCGGCGGACGGGUGAGUAAUGCCUAGGAAUCUGCCUGGUAGUGGGGGAUAACGUCCGGAAACGGGCGCUAAUACCGCAUACGUCCUGAGGGAGAAAGUGGGGGAUCUUCGGACCUCACGCUAUCAGAUGAGCCUAGGUCGGAUUAGCUAGUUGGUGGGGUAAAGGCCUACCAAGGCGACGAUCCGUAACUGGUCUGAGAGGAUGAUCAGUCACACUGGAACUGAGACACGGUCCAGACUCCUACGGGAGGCAGCAGUGGGGAAUAUUGGACAAUGGGCGAAAGCCUGAUCCAGCCAUGCCGCGUGUGUGAGAAGGUCUUCGGAUUGUAAAGCACUUUAAGUUGGGAGGAAGGGCAGUAAGUUAAUACCUUGCUGUUUUGACGUUACCAACAGAAUAAGCACCGGCUAACUUCG
This 500-nucleotide ribosomal RNA is filed under the name uncultured microorganism. Its description in RNAcentral is "bacterial SSU rRNA". It matches the Rfam family "Bacterial small subunit ribosomal RNA", at positions 9 to 505 of the family's 1533-position model. The record is from RNAcentral.